Molecule: long non-coding RNA, 491 nt
Organism: Homo sapiens (human)
Lineage: Eukaryota; Metazoa; Chordata; Mammalia; Primates; Hominidae
Exons: 2
Source: RefSeq, a predicted model, not a curated record
AGUCUGCUCUCGCCGUUUUUAUUUGGGGUCGUCCCCAAAGGCCACGUGGUGGGGAAACAGGGCCGGGGACACAAUGGUGGCACAGUGACCAGCCGUCCGGGCCCUGGCUAAUCACUAGAAACACCUGGAGGAACUCGUUGAAGGAAACAAAGGCAAAAUACAGCAUUGACCUUGCACCUACUGGGGGAACAGAAAACUCAGGUGGCUGCUCUGACAAAGUUCCUCCGACUUCCAAGUUGUAGGGGAGGGGUGAUCCAGCGCGCUUUCCCCAUCCUCCACGUCACUCCCCGCUCCACACAGCGCUCUUGCUUGGUGAUCUCACCCUUUGUCGACCCAAGAACAGUCAUCGCAUUGUUUCAUCCUCAGCCUAACUCGACUCCCCUUACAUUUUUACCGCUAAAUUGAAUCUACUGCCAGUAAUCUAAUUUACAUUUGAAGGCACACACAAUGCCAACACAACCAAAUGCCAAUAAAAUUUCUAGUAAAACCCA